RNAcentral lists this ribosomal RNA (449 nucleotides) under uncultured bacterium. RNAcentral's name for it is "bacterial SSU rRNA". It matches the Rfam family "Bacterial small subunit ribosomal RNA", at positions 28 to 489 of the family's 1533-position model. The record is from RNAcentral.
GACGAACGCUGGCGGCGCGCCUAACACAUGCAAGUCGAACGGAGCUGAGAGGAGCUUGCUUUUCUCAGCUUAGUGGCGAACGGGUGAGUAACGCGUGAGUAACCUGCCCUGGAGUGGGGGACAACAGUUGGAAACGACUGCUAAUACCGCAUAAGCCCACGAUCCGGCAUCGGAUUGAGGGAAAAGGAUUUAUUCGCUUCAGGAUGGACUCGCGUCCAAUUAGCUAGUUGGUGAGGUAACGGCCCACCAAGGCGACGAUUGGUAGCCGGACUGAGAGGUUGAACGGCCACAUUGGGACUGAGACACGGCCCAGACUCCUACGGGAGGCAGCAGUGGGGGAUAUUGCACAAUGGGGGAAACCCUGAUGCAGCGACGCCGCGUGGAGGAAGAAGGUUUUCGGAUUGUAAACUCCUGUCGUUAGGGACGAUAAUGACGGUACCUAACAAGAA